UCACCCCUCAAGCCCUGUGUUUGGUGUUGGACGGCCUGGUCGGUUAAAACGACCCCUCCUAAAGAUAAUGACGGCGGCCCGUGGAGCCCCCGGUACACUGAGCUUCUUAACUGAGCACGUAUCGGACGAGGGCGCCCGGACCCCGGUCUUUCUCCCCUAGGGGAACUUUCUAAG
RNAcentral lists this unclassified non-coding RNA (174 nucleotides) under uncultured Chaetothyriales. Its description in RNAcentral is "sequence contains ITS2". The record is from RNAcentral. Lineage: Eukaryota; Fungi; Ascomycota; Eurotiomycetes; Chaetothyriales.